AGAGUUUGAUGCUGGCUCAGAGUGAACGCUGGCGGCGUGCCUAACACAUGCAAGUUGAACGUGAAAGCUCCUUCGGGAGUAAGUAGAGUAGCAGACGGGUUAGUAAUGCAUAGGUAAUCUUCCUUCGAGUGGGGGACAACUCGCCGAAAGGCGGGCUAAUCCCGCAUGAUGUCAUUUUGUAUAAGCAGAAUGACCAAAGGGGGGGCUUCUUCGGAACCUCUCGCUUGAGGAUGAGCUUAUGUCCUAUUAGCUUGUUGGUGGGGUAAUGGCCUACCAAGGCACUGAUGGGUAGCCGAGCUGAGAGGCUGAUCGGCCACACUGGAACUGAGACACGGUCCAGACUCCUACGGGAGGCAGCAGUGGGGAAUUUUGCGCAAUGGGCGAAAGCCUGACGCAGCGACGCCGCGUGAGGGAUGAAGGUCUUCGUGAUCGUAAACCUCUGUCAGGAAGGAUUAAAGCACAAGGAUUAAUACCUCUUGUGUCUGACUUAACUUCCAAAGGAAGCCCCGGCUAACUACGUGCCAGCAGCCGCGGUAAUACGUAGGGGGCAAGCGUUACUCGGAUUUAUUGGGCGUAAAGCGAAUGUAGGCGGUUUGGUAAGUCAGAAGUGAAAUCCCUCAGCUCAACUGAGGAAUUGCCUUUGAUACUGCUAAACUUGAGGACAGGAGAGGAAAGUGGAAUUCCCGGUGUAGCGGUGGAAUGCGUAGAUAUCGGGAGGAACACCAGAGGCGAAGGCGGCUUUCUGGACUGUUCCUGACGCUGAGAUUCGAAAGCUAGGGGAGCAAAC
RNAcentral lists this ribosomal RNA (787 nucleotides) under uncultured delta proteobacterium. RNAcentral describes it as "bacterial SSU rRNA". It matches the Rfam family "Bacterial small subunit ribosomal RNA", at positions 8 to 773 of the family's 1533-position model. Lineage: Bacteria; Deltaproteobacteria. The record is from RNAcentral.